UGGCGGACGGGUGAGUAACGCGUGGGUAACCUGCCCCAUACAGGGGGAUAACAGAUAGAAAUGUCUGCUAAUACCGCAUAAGACCACAGCGCCGCAUGGCGCAGGGGUAAAAACUCCGGUGGUAUGGGAUGGACCCGCGUCUGAUUAGCUAGUUGGUGGGGUAAAGGCCCACCAAGGCGACGAUCAGUAGCCGACCUGAGAGGGUGACCGGCCACAUUGGGACUGAGACACGGCCCAAACUCCUACGGAAGGCAGCAG
This 258-nucleotide ribosomal RNA is filed under the name uncultured bacterium. RNAcentral's name for it is "partial 16S ribosomal RNA". It matches the Rfam family "Bacterial small subunit ribosomal RNA", at positions 96 to 354 of the family's 1533-position model. The record is from RNAcentral.